RNAcentral lists this ribosomal RNA (492 nucleotides) under uncultured bacterium. RNAcentral's name for it is "partial 16S ribosomal RNA". It matches the Rfam family "Bacterial small subunit ribosomal RNA", at positions 29 to 507 of the family's 1533-position model. The record is from RNAcentral.
AGUGAACGCUGGCGGUAGGCCUAACACAUGCAAGUCGAACGGCAGCACAGUAAGAGCUUGCUCUUACGGGUGGCGAGUGGCGGACGGGUGAGGAAUAUAUCGGAAUCUACUUUUUCGUGGGGGAUAACGUAGGGAAACUUACGCUAAUACCGCAUCCGACCUACGGGUGAAAGCAGGGGAUCUUCGCACCUUGCGCGAUUGAAUGAGCCGAUGUCGGAUUAGCUAGUUGGCGGGGUAAAGGCCCACCAAGGCGACGAUCCGUAGCUGGUCUGAGAGGAUGAUCAGCCACACUAGAACUGAGACACGGUCCAGACUCCUACGGGACGCAGCAGUGGGGAAUAUUGGACAAUGGGCGCAAGCCUGAUCCAGCCAUACCGCGUGGGUGAAGAAGGCCUUCGGGUUGUAAAGCCCUUUUGUUGGGAAAGAAAAGCAGCAGGUUAAUACCCCGCUGUUCUGACGGUACCCAAAGAAUAAGCACCGGCUAACUUCGUG